Molecule: ribosomal RNA, 511 nt
Filed under: uncultured bacterium
Lineage: Bacteria
Description: bacterial SSU rRNA
Rfam family: Bacterial small subunit ribosomal RNA
Source: RNAcentral
GAGUUUGAUCAUGGCUCAGAUUGAACGCUGGCGGCAGGCCUAACACAUGCAAGUCGAGCGGUAGAGAGAAGCUUGCUUCUCUUGAGAGCGGCGGACGGGUGAGUAAUGCCUAGGAAUCUGCCUGGUAGUGGGGGAUAACGCUCGGAAACGGACGCUAAUACCGCAUACGUCCUACGGGAGAAAGCAGGGGACCUUCGGGCCUUGCGCUAUCAGAUGAGCCUAGGUCGGAUUAGCUAGUUGGUGAGGUAAUGGCUCACCAAGGCGACGAUCCGUAACUGGUCUGAGAGGAUGAUCAGUCACACUGGAACUGAGACACGGUCCAGACUCCUACGGGAGGCAGCAGUGGGGGAAUAUUGGACAAUGGGCGAAAGCCUGAUCCAGCCAUGCCGCGUGUGUGAAGAAGGUCUUCGGAUUGUAAAGCACUUUAAGUUGGGAGGAAGGGCAGUAAAUUAAUACUUUGCUGUUUUGACGUUACCGACAGAAUAAGCACCGGCUAACUCUGUGCCAGCCG